UUGUCCCUGAGAACUCAGGCUUCCAAGCUGCAGGCUCUCAGACAGGGAAUUUUUAGUCCUGCUCUGUUUUCAGGCAUUCACGUCACCAGACAAGCUGAGCACAUCCACCUGUGCUUUCUGGUAGCUCUGCGUCUGCAUAGAAAGCAAUGGGCUUCCCAAAGGUGCUGGGCAGUCGUGGGGUUCAAUACAAACUGCAUUUGAUUGGGACUUGGGGUUUGGCUGGACUGCCUUGAUUUUCCCAGGGUGAUCAGUCUUUAACACGAAACGAAAAAGGUCCUAAAUGUCAACAUUGAAUUACAAAGUCAUUCUUGCAAUUCUUGCAUCGGGGUUUCCCUAACGAUGGCAAUUCUCAUGACUGCUGGAGACCAGGCAGGAGUGGGCAUGGAAAGAGAAGUGCUGUGCAGACCAACAAAUUAAUCACGUGUGUGUUUGCACCUGUGAUUACGCCCAGGCACUGAUCCAGGAUCUAAGGAUACCUUAGGUGAAGAAAUAGACUAGAGCCCUAUCCUUGAGGAACUUACGUUCUAGAGCAUAGAAGCUCUUUCAUGUUGCAAAAUAUAUGCUCUUAAAUCUAGGAAACAAUCCAAUGCUUUCAUGUCUCUGAAUGCUGCUAAGGUGCCUAGCAGCUCAUUCCUAAAAUCUGAUUUCUCCCCAGCCUAGACUCUUGUUGCUUCAAGGAAAUGAUUCUCAAUCUCUUCCAUGUUGUACAUCUCUUUGUACAUCAAUUAAAGCUGUGAACCCUUUUUCAGAAAAACGUUCAGAACACAGAAACAUUCACAAACCUGCCUGCCAUUUGAGGGACUAUGAGCUCCAGGAGGCUCACACAGGACUGUGGCUUUAGAAGACCUGUCUUAAGUGUGGGAGGCAGCUGCCGCCUGUGCUGCCGGCUCACACCGCAUUUCCCAGCAGGAGCUAUGCAGCUGAAUUUCAAUCACAGUGCGCCACCACUGUGGAUUAGAGGGAGCUGGCCACUGUUGAAAAUUUGAACUAAAAAAAUGUUUAAAUUCUACCAAACUGUAGACAAACCCAUUUGCAAAAUUCCUAACAAGUUAUCAUCUUCGUGUGGUCCCAGAUGAGCUCUGACCUUGGCCAGGUCCCUUCCUUGCUUUGGGUCUCAGCUUUCAGGUUUGUGAAAUGAGGGGGCGGAGGGAGCAGCGCUGAGGUCCCUUCCAGCUCUGCAGUGCCUCGAAUUCUAAGUUGCUGGUGCGUCUUUUACUGAGGGGCAACCGGGAGAAAGUGCAGCCUCAGGUGCUGGCCUUUCCUGGGAAGAGCUCCCGGACGCCUUCUGCCGGGCCCACGCCUCCGCCCAGCAACUACCGACCGCUCUCCCCUCUGCGGCGCGGGAUGCCGGCCUGGCUCCAGGAUGAAGCAGAGGCUGCCGCGGCGCCGGCCGGUUACGGCUUUAGAACUCUCAGUUCCACGGGGGAGGGCGCAGCACGGCCCAACACCCCACGCGGAGGAGAAGUGGGGCUUUUCCGUGCGAGUGUGCGGGUGUGCCAGGCCCGUGUCUGGGAAGGGGUGCUGAGGGCCACGCUGCUCGGAGGAGACCCGCCCCUGCACCGCGCCCUGCACCCCGCCCCCUGCCCCGCUCCCCCGCUGGGAGGGAGGAGAAGAGCAGAGAAGGCAAACCGCGUGCAGCGAGGCGGGGGUGCGGGGGCGCGGGGAGAAUGCGGUUAAGGCCAGUGUCGCUCUCAAGGGGCAGCCCUGGUGUCACCCCCACCCCCUCCCACGCUGAAGCCUUCCCGCUGAGCUGUGGCAUCAGCACAAACCGGACCGCGUCAGCACCUCCAGGCCAGAAUUUAAAUGUUAUUAUCGGCAAUUGAUCUGCUUGGGACUGAGGUUUCGGGUCUUCUGCGGAAUUGGGAGGAGCGUGGAUGGAGAAGGAGGUGCUGCACUGUGGCACAGACUCGGCCGGGGCUGCCUGGCUCUGAGCAGGCUCGUGGGACGGCCCUGUAAGAACCCCACUGCAAGAAGGGCACAGAAGCACCUGAGUUGGCGUCUCAGCAGGGACCCCCCCCAGGAAAUGGCCUUCUACAGUUGGUACACAAGCUCUUUACACACUUAGCCAUCGCUAUACACAGUCCACGCUUGUGCACCCACACCCACAAGCUUAUGCUCAUGUGCACAUUUUUUUUUUUUUUUUUUUUUUGAGACAGAGUUUCGCUCUUGUCGCCCAGGCUGGAGUGCAAUGGCGCCAUCUCAGCUCACUGCAACCUCCGCCUCCUGGGUUCAAGAGAUUCUCCUCCCUCAGCCUCUCGAGUAACUGGGAUUAGAGGCGUGCGCCACCACACCUGGCUAAUUUUUGUAUUUUUGGUAUAGAUGGAGUUUUGCCACAUUGGCCAGGCUGGUCUCGAACUCCUGACCUCAAGUGACCCGCCCGCCUUGGCUUCCCAAAGUGCUGGGGUUACAGGCGUGAGCCACCAAGCCCGGCCUCACAGGCGGAUUCUUGAAUCUGUGUGUAUAAUGCUUCUCUUACAGUCAUCCAGCAAACAUGUACGGACCCUGCUCACGUUUCCACAUAACCAUCCUUGUCUUCCUUUUCUAUCCUUCGGGUCCGCGCAUUUGCUAUCCAUACAUGUUACCAGACACAGUUUGCUGGAACAUAUGAUAUGCCCUUUCCUAGCACAUCCAUAUAAACACACACAAUGGAUCUACAUAUGUACAGGCCUAAAAACAGAAUACACAUCCUACAUGACAUGUACAAAUGUGCACACAGAAACAACAGCCUUCACACCGUCUGCACGUGUGGGCCAUGCCCAGGUCCCAGGCACACAGGCCAGGUGACAGUCCACUUCCUCACACAAUAGCCUGCUCUCUUUUCCUCACUCCUUCCUCAAGCAGCUGUCCGUGGGGGAGAACCUCUGCCCCUAGCCACCGCCCUGUCUCUUCAUUCUGAGUUGAGCAUGGGAAACCGUGUGAUGCAGGGAAGGAUGGUGAUACCAGGCCUCUGGGAGCCUGGGCUGUCAGCUUAACUGGCUUCAUAACACGCUAUUUUGCUCAUUUAUUUUCGUAUACCUUCACAUGCCUUGUGAGGCCUUCCAGAAAUAGAUGUUCAAAUCCUACCUCAGUUUCCUCAUCCAUAAAAUGGAUUAAAAUACUAUCUGCCUUA
Symphalangus syndactylus (siamang) is the source of this 3109-nucleotide long non-coding RNA. RefSeq lists it as uncharacterized. The record is from RefSeq and is a predicted model, not a curated record. NCBI's taxonomy places the organism in Eukaryota, Metazoa, Chordata, Mammalia, Primates, Hylobatidae.